Molecule: small nucleolar RNA, 144 nt
Filed under: Macaca mulatta (Rhesus monkey)
Lineage: Eukaryota; Metazoa; Chordata; Mammalia; Primates; Cercopithecidae
Description: SCARNA11
Rfam family: Small Cajal body specific RNA 11
About the family: scaRNAs are a specific class of small nuclear RNAs which localise to the Cajal bodies and guide the modification of RNA polymerase II transcribed spliceosomal RNAs U1, U2, U4, U5 and U12. ACA57 belongs to the H/ACA box class of guide RNAs as it has the predicted hairpin-hinge-hairpin-tail structure, conserved H/ACA-box motifs and is found associated with GAR1.
Source: RNAcentral
UUUGUCCUGGCCUAUUUUUCUGCUCCCCUGUGCUCAGUUCUAACAGGGUAGUCUGGCAGGACACACAGUAAUUUCCCUCUCAGUUUAGGAGGGCCGUCCUAAGAAUGGGGCUGGCUCUUAAAGGCACGAGAGGACAGUUUAAAA